This 1580-nucleotide ribosomal RNA is filed under the name Limosilactobacillus fermentum. Its description in RNAcentral is "bacterial SSU rRNA". It matches the Rfam family "Bacterial small subunit ribosomal RNA". Lineage: Bacteria; Bacillati; Bacillota; Bacilli; Lactobacillales; Lactobacillaceae. The record is from RNAcentral. RNAcentral also lists the same sequence under 1 other name.
UUUAUAUGAGAGUUUGAUCCUGGCUCAGGAUGAACGCCGGCGGUGUGCCUAAUACAUGCAAGUCGAACGCGUUGGCCCAAUUGAUUGAUGGUGCUUGCACCUGAUUGAUUUUGGUUGCCAGCGAGUGGCGGACGGGUGAGUAACACGUAGGUAACCUGCCCAGAAGCGGGGGACAACAUUUGGAAACAGAUGCUAAUACCGCAUAACAGCGUUGUUCGCAUGAACAACGCUUAAAAGAUGGCUUCUCGCUAUCACUUCUGGAUGGACCUGCGGUGCAUUAGCUUGUUGGUGGGGUAACGGCCUACCAAGGCGAUGAUGCAUAGCCGAGUUGAGAGACUGAUCGGCCACAAUGGGACUGAGACACGGCCCAUACUCCUACGGGAGGCAGCAGUAGGGAAUCUUCCACAAUGGGCGCAAGCCUGAUGGAGCAACACCGCGUGAGUGAAGAAGGGUUUCGGCUCGUAAAGCUCUGUUGUUAAAGAAGAACACGUAUGAGAGUAACUGUUCAUACGUUGACGGUAUUUAACCAGAAAGUCACGGCUAACUACGUGCCAGCAGCCGCGGUAAUACGUAGGUGGCAAGCGUUAUCCGGAUUUAUUGGGCGUAAAGAGAGUGCAGGCGGUUUUCUAAGUCUGAUGUGAAAGCCUUCGGCUUAACCGGAGAAGUGCAUCGGAAACUGGAUAACUUGAGUGCAGAAGAGGGUAGUGGAACUCCAUGUGUAGCGGUGGAAUGCGUAGAUAUAUGGAAGAACACCAGUGGCGAAGGCGGCUACCUGGUCUGCAACUGACGCUGAGACUCGAAAGCAUGGGUAGCGAACAGGAUUAGAUACCCUGGUAGUCCAUGCCGUAAACGAUGAGUGCUAGGUGUUGGAGGGUUUCCGCCCUUCAGUGCCGGAGCUAACGCAUUAAGCACUCCGCCUGGGGAGUACGACCGCAAGGUUGAAACUCAAAGGAAUUGACGGGGGCCCGCACAAGCGGUGGAGCAUGUGGUUUAAUUCGAAGCUACGCGAAGAACCUUACCAGGUCUUGACAUCUUGCGCCAACCCUAGAGAUAGGGCGUUUCCUUCGGGAACGCAAUGACAGGUGGUGCAUGGUCGUCGUCAGCUCGUGUCGUGAGAUGUUGGGUUAAGUCCCGCAACGAGCGCAACCCUUGUUACUAGUUGCCAGCAUUAAGUUGGGCACUCUAGUGAGACUGCCGGUGACAAACCGGAGGAAGGUGGGGACGACGUCAGAUCAUCAUGCCCCUUAUGACCUGGGCUACACACGUGCUACAAUGGACGGUACAACGAGUCGCGAACUCGCGAGGGCAAGCAAAUCUCUUAAAACCGUUCUCAGUUCGGACUGCAGGCUGCAACUCGCCUGCACGAAGUCGGAAUCGCUAGUAAUCGCGGAUCAGCAUGCCGCGGUGAAUACGUUCCCGGGCCUUGUACACACCGCCCGUCACACCAUGAGAGUUUGUAACACCCAAAGUCGGUGGGGUAACCUUUUAGGAGCCAGCCGCCUAAGGUGGGACAGAUGAUUAGGGUGAAGUCGUAACAAGGUAGCCGUAGGAGAACCUGCGGCUGGAUCACCUCCUUUCUA